UCUUCAAGGGGUGGGUUGGCUUCACUGCAACCUCAUCCUACCUUGCUGGCUUACAGCACUAAGUCUGGCAGGGCUCAGAGAAGGAAGCUUCCAAGUGGACUUCAUGCAUCUGAAAAGGAGCCACUCUGGGAACUGCCUGGGAGGCAACCCUUCUCACUACCUAGGUAACAGCUCUGUCAUUUAUGGCUCAAACGCCACUCACCAGGGAGUUGCUGCAGACCUGUAUGUAUCCUUAUCAGAGAAAUAGAGGCUACUGAGAACCUAAGCAGGUGCCUCAUCGAUAAGGAAACUACAUAAGACAGUAUCUUGGAAGUUAGAGCUGCCCUGUAACUUGCAUCCCCCAUAUCUCAGAAACCAGAAUGAAAGGUCUACAGCAGAGACGGAAGAGAGGAAGUCUCGUCACUUGGACCACCAAAGAACUAAGGUCUCAAGGUCCCUCUACUAUGGUUAAAUCUAUAGUCAAGCAACCCAUCCCAGUGCUUCUGUGGAAUUCCUGCAAGAGGCAGGAGGCGGUUCAGAGAGUCAUCAAAGCCAUUUUCACAAGGUAGACACAGGACUGGGGGAUUAGAGGCUUUCAUGGCCUCACUUGCCAACCUGCACCCCAAGGCUCUGGGUGAGUACCAUUAACUUCUCUCCACUCUCUAUAAUUCCAAACCAAUCUCCACUUUGCAUAUCGACAUGAAAGCCAAUGGCUGUGCCAGCUAAGGUCAGCCGACUCCAAGGAAAAAGCCUCAAGGGGAGGCAGAUAUGGAGACAGGAGCUGGGAAAAGCAGUAGGAGAAACCUCACGCUGGACAUUACGUCUACCAGUGACUCUCUCCCCUACUGCUGCCAGUGCCUGAAGCACCAGGGCAGUUUGUAUCUUCUCAAGGUGUUUCCUCAG
This 882-nucleotide long non-coding RNA is filed under the name Mus pahari (shrew mouse). Its description in RNAcentral is "lncRNA (MGP_PahariEiJ_G0003425.1)". The record is from RNAcentral. Lineage: Eukaryota; Metazoa; Chordata; Mammalia; Rodentia; Muridae.